UAGACCCUGACAGAGGCCUAUUGUAACCCCAU
This 32-nucleotide non-coding RNA is filed under the name Mus musculus (house mouse). Lineage: Eukaryota; Metazoa; Chordata; Mammalia; Rodentia; Muridae. The record is from RNAcentral.